This 253-nucleotide ribosomal RNA is filed under the name uncultured bacterium. RNAcentral describes it as "partial 16S ribosomal RNA". It matches the Rfam family "Bacterial small subunit ribosomal RNA", at positions 524 to 776 of the family's 1533-position model. The record is from RNAcentral.
UACGUAGGGUGCAAGCGUUACUCGGAAUUACUGGGCGUAAAGCGUGCGCAGGCGGUUAUGCAAGUCAGAUGUGAAAUCCCCGGGCUCAACCUGGGAACUGCAUUUGUGACUGCAUGGCUAGAGUGCGGCAGAGGGGGAUGGAAUUCCGCGUGUAGCAGUGAAAUGCGUAGAUAUGCGGAGGAACACCGAUGGCGAAGGCAAUCCCCUGGGCCUGCACUGACGCUCAUGCACGAAAGCGUGGGGAGCAAACAGG